This 210-nucleotide unclassified non-coding RNA is filed under the name Hevea brasiliensis (rubber tree). The record is from RNAcentral. Lineage: Eukaryota; Viridiplantae; Streptophyta; Magnoliopsida; Malpighiales; Euphorbiaceae.
GAAACACUGCUCACAACUCUGUUUUGACAAUAGAGCACAUUCCCAAAUUAAGAACUAACCCACUAGACCACGAAUCCCUUAUAAGACCCCCAUCAAAAGCUCAGUUUGAUGUGGAUAUAAAGGAACCGUCAGUAUUCAAUUUAAACCACUAAAAUGGAGGGAGCUCCAAGCAGACUAGCCAUUCCACUCUACUUCAUACACUUAUGAGAG